RNAcentral lists this ribosomal RNA (474 nucleotides) under Streptococcus pneumoniae. RNAcentral's name for it is "bacterial SSU rRNA". It matches the Rfam family "Bacterial small subunit ribosomal RNA", at positions 28 to 487 of the family's 1533-position model. The record is from RNAcentral. Lineage: Bacteria; Bacillati; Bacillota; Bacilli; Lactobacillales; Streptococcaceae.
GACGAACGCUGGCGGCGUGCCUAAUACAUGCAAGUAGAACGCUGAAGGAGGAGCUUGCUUCUCUGGAUGAGUUGCGAACGGGUGAGUAACGCGUAGGUAACCUGCCUGGUAGCGGGGGAUAACUAUUGGAAACGAUAGCUAAUACCGCAUAAGAGUGGAUGUUGCAUGACAUUUGCUUAAAAGGUGCACUUGCAUCACUACCAGAUGGACCUGCGUUGUAUUAGCUAGUUGGUGGGGUAACGGCUCACCAAGGCGACGAUACAUAGCCGACCUGAGAGGGUGAUCGGCCACACUGGGACUGAGACACGGCCCAGACUCCUACGGGAGGCAGCAGUAGGGAAUCUUCGGCAAUGGACGGAAGUCUGACCGGGCAACGCCGCGUGAGUGAAGAAGGUUUUCGGAUCGUAAAGCUCUGUUGUAAGAGAAGAACGAGUGUGAGAGUGGAAAGUUCACACUGUGACUUUAUCUACCAGA